Molecule: ribosomal RNA, 301 nt
Filed under: uncultured bacterium
Lineage: Bacteria
Description: partial 16S ribosomal RNA
Rfam family: Bacterial small subunit ribosomal RNA
Source: RNAcentral
CAGUAGCCGCGGUAAUACGUAGGGUGCGAGCGUUAAUCGGAAUUACUGGGCGUAAAGCGUGCGCAGGCGGUUCGUUAAGACAGAUGUGAAAUCCCCGGGCUUAACCUGGGAACUGCAUUUGUGACCGGCGGGCUAGAGUAUGGCAGAGGGGGGUAGAAUUCCACGUGUAGCAGUGAAAUGCGUAGAGAUGUGGAGGAAUACCGAUGGCGAAGGCAGCCGCCUGGGCCAAUACUGACGCUCAUGCACGAAAGCGUGGGGAGCAAACAGGAUUAGAUACCCCCGUAGUCCCUGUCUCUUAUAC